Molecule: non-coding RNA, 372 nt
Organism: Megalops cyprinoides (Indo-Pacific tarpon)
Lineage: Eukaryota; Metazoa; Chordata; Actinopteri; Elopiformes; Megalopidae
Source: the annotation of a RefSeq genome assembly
AUGUUCCCUGCAUCUCUGCUGCUGCUUCUUGCAGCUGCAUCCUAUGUCCACUGUGAUGUGGUUCUGACCCAGUCUGGGGGUCAGGUGGGCAGUCCAGGAGGGAGGCUCUCUCUCACCUGCACAGGGUCUGGCUACACAUUUAGUAGCAAUGCUAUGGGCUGGAUCAGACAGGCACCCCAGAAAGGCUUGGAGUGGAUUGCAUAUAUCAGCAGCCCAAGCGGUAGUAAUAAAUAUUACUCAGACUCUGUAAAGGGAAGAUUCUCCAUCUCCAGAGACAAUGACAGGAGCACAGUCACCUUGGAGAUGAGCAGUCUGAAGCCUGAAGACACAGCUGUGUAUUACUGUGCUCGAUACUCCCAGUGUGUGAAGUGA